This 74-nucleotide transfer RNA is filed under the name Perkinsus marinus ATCC 50983. It matches the Rfam family "tRNA". From Rfam's summary of the family: Transfer RNA (tRNA) molecules are approximately 80 nucleotides in length. Their secondary structure includes four short double-helical elements and three loops (D, anti-codon, and T loops). Further hydrogen bonds mediate the characteristic L-shaped molecular structure. tRNAs have two regions of fundamental functional importance: the anti-codon, which is responsible for specific mRNA codon recognition, and the 3' end, to which the tRNAs corresponding amino acid is attached (by aminoacyl-tRNA synthetases). tRNAs cope with the degeneracy of the genetic code in two manners: having more than one tRNA (with a specific anti-codon) for a particular amino acid; and 'wobble' base-pairing, i.e. permitting non-standard base-pairing at the 3rd anti-codon position. The record is from Rfam by way of RNAcentral. Lineage: Eukaryota; Perkinsozoa; Perkinsida; Perkinsidae.
GCCCGAUUAGUUCAACUGGAUAGAAUGUCUGCCUACGGAGCAGAUGGUCGUAGGUUCGAAUCCUGCAUCGGGUA